GAUGAACGCUGGCGGCGUGCCUAAUACAUGCAAGUCGAGCGAACAGACGAGGAGCUUGCUCCUCUGACGUUAGCGGCGGACGGGUGAGUAACACGUGGAUAACCUACCUAUAAGACUGGGAUAACUUCGGGAAACCGGAGCUAAUACCGGAUAAUAUAUUGAACCGCAUGGUUCAAUAGUGAAAGACGGUUUUGCUGUCACUUAUAGAUGGAUCCGCGCCGCAUUAGCUAGUUGGUAAGGUAACGGCUUACCAAGGCAACGAUGCGUAGCCGACCUGAGAGGGGGACCGGCAACACUGAAACGAGGAAACGGUCAAAACUCCUAGGGGAGGAAGCGGUGGGAAAUCUCCGGAAAUGGGCGAAAGCCGACCGGAGCAACGCGGGGUGGGUAAUAAGGGCCUCCGGAUCGUAAAACUCUGUUAUAAGGAAGAACAAAUGUGUAAGUAACUAUGCACGUCUUGACGGUACCUAAUCAGAAAGCCACGGCUAACUACGUG
This 496-nucleotide ribosomal RNA is filed under the name uncultured bacterium. Its description in RNAcentral is "partial 16S ribosomal RNA". It matches the Rfam family "Bacterial small subunit ribosomal RNA", at positions 28 to 507 of the family's 1533-position model. The record is from RNAcentral.